ACUUUUAAAGGAUAAUAGAAAUCCACGGGCCUUAGAAGCCCGUAAUCUCAAUGCAACUCUGAGUAAAAGUU
This 71-nucleotide transfer RNA is filed under the name Bolitoglossa n. sp. RLM-2004. RNAcentral's name for it is "tRNA-Leu". Lineage: Eukaryota; Metazoa; Chordata; Amphibia; Caudata; Plethodontidae. The record is from RNAcentral.